Molecule: ribosomal RNA, 1227 nt
Filed under: Cardiastethus sp.
Lineage: Eukaryota; Metazoa; Arthropoda; Insecta; Hemiptera; Anthocoridae
Description: 16S ribosomal RNA
Rfam family: Archaeal large subunit ribosomal RNA (bases 1006-1164)
Source: RNAcentral
UUAGGUAUAAUUUUAUUUAUAAUAAUUAGUAAUUAUUAAUUUAAAAAAAAUAAUUUUAUUUUUAGUAUUGUUUAUAGAAUGAAGUUUAAAAUUUAUAGUUUAUUUAGUACCGAGAGGGAAUAUUUUAUUUUAUGUAAAAGAAUUAUUUUAUUAAGUACCUUUUGUAUCAGGGUUUAUUAAUUUUAUUUUAAAUAAUUAAAAAUCUCGAAAUUAAAAGAUCUAUUUUUUUAUGUUUUUAUAUGUUUUAAAAUAUAAUAUAAUUUAAAAAUAGUAAUUAAAUGUUUUUCGAAUUUAAUAUAUCUAGUUUUUUAAGAUUUUAAUUUAAUUAAGCUAUUAAUUUAUUUAGGUGAAUUACAAAAGUUAAUUAAUAGUAAAUGAUUCAGGGAUUAGCUUGGGUUAUUCAAUAUAAUAAUAAUAAAAUUAAAUUUUGAGUAGGAUUAAAAUUGUCCAUCUUUUAUUAUUUAAAAGUAAGGUUUUUAAGGAUUUUAAUUUUUUAUAAAUUUAGAUUUUUAUUAAAAAUUUAAUUUUAACUAAUAAUUUUUUUUAUAAUGAUAAAAUUAGUAUUUUAAUAUUUAAAAUAUAGGAAUUCGGCAAAAAUUAUUUUCACCUGUUUAACAAAAACAUGUCCUUUAGAAUUUAUUUAAGGUCAGGCCUGCUCUAUGAAUUAUUUAAAUGGCCGCAGUAUUUUAACUGUGCAAAGGUAGCAUAAUCAUUUGCUUUUUCAUUGAAAGCUGGAAUGAAUGGUUUAAUGAGAAAUAUUCUUUCUUUAUUUUAUUAUUAUUAAUUUUAUUUUUUUAUUAAAAAGUAAAAAUAAAAUUAUUAGACGAGAAGACCCUAUAAAACUUUAUUAAUAUUUUAAUUAAUUAUUUGUUUAAUAUUUUUGUUUAGAUAUUAUUAAUUUUGUUGGGGUGACAGUUAAAUUUUUUUAACUUUAAUUUUUAUUUUUUAUUAAUUUAUAUUUAUCUUGAUCCAUAAAUUGUGAUUAUAAGUUUAAGUUACUUUAGGGAUAACAGCGUAAUUUUAUUGGAAAGUUCAUAUUGAUAAUAAAGUUUGCGACCUCGAUGUUGGAUUAAAAUUAGUUUUUGGUGCAGUAGCUAAAAUACUAAGUCUGUUCGACUUUUAAAGUUUUACAUGAUCUGAGUUCAAACCGGCGUGAGCCAGGUUGGUUUCUAUCUUUAAUUUUUAAUGAUUUAGUACGAAAGGACCAGUUGUUAUGAUUAUAUUAUU